CUCGCAUCGCAACGUGCGGAGAUGCAGCAACGUCUCGACGAGUCGACGGCGCCGCGACGGGGAGCGGCCGUCUUCGCAUCUCUCCCCCAUUCAAAUUCCAAUACUCCAAAGCACCGUUAAUACUACUACUUCUCUCACGAAUCCCCAAUCCCUAAAAUCCCCGUACGCCGCCCGCUUCUCUCCUCCGAUUCCUCCGCCGCCUUCGCGCCGCCGCCCUCGCCUCUCUUGCGCCUCCACCGGCCACCGCCGCGGCGUCCGAUGGAGAAGCCGGAGUGGAGCAUGGACGACUUCGAGAUCGGCAAGUACAUCGGCGAGGGCAAGUUCGGGAAGGUCUACCUCGCCCGCGAGAAGCAGAGCGGCUACGUGGUGGCGCUCAAGGUGACAUUCAAGGCGAAGCUGGACAAGUACAGGUUCCACGCGCACCUGCGGCGGGAGAUCGAGAUCCAGCACGGCCUCGACCACCCCAACGUGCUCCGUCUCUUCGCCUGGUUCCACGACGCCGAGCGCGUCGUCCUCGUGCUCGAGUACGCCGCCCGUGGGGAGCUUUACAAGCUCCUCCGCACCGUCCGCCGCUUCUCUGAGCGCACCGCUGCUACUUAUGUUGCCAGCCUUGCCGGUGCACUAGCAUACUGUCAUAAGAAGCAAGUUAUCCAUCGGGACAUCAAGCCAGAGAAUUUACUCCUUGAUAUUGAGGGCCGACUUAAAAUUGCAGAUUUUGGAUGGGCGGUUAGAUCAAAUGCUAAACGACACACACUUUGUGGUACAAUUGAUUACCUGGCACCUGAAAUGAUAGAGAAAAAGGCUCAUGACCAUGCUGUUGACAACUGGACUUUAGGAAUCUUGUGCUAUGAGUUCUUAUAUGGGUCACCACCUUUUGAAGCAGCAGAACAGGAUGAUACAUUGAGGAGGAUAGUUAAAGUGGAUUUGUCGUUCCCCUCAACUCCUUAUGUUUCUGCAGAUGCUAAGGAUCUCAUUUGCAAGGUAAAAUUUGUGGUAUUGAUUAUACCUAUUGUAUAUGUUACACUAAAAUGGGUUGAACUUUUGAGUUUUGAGCUUCGAGUUCGUAUGCAGCUUUUGGUGAAGGAUUCAAACAAGAGACUUUCUCUUGAUGACAUAAUGAAACAUCCAUGGAUUGUGAAGAAUGCAGACCCAUCAGGGAGUUGUAGUGACCAAAAGGCUCGCACAUAAUACCUUUAAGAAACAAGUGGCAGGUUAAGGGCUUGUCCUGUAAGAUUUAGGUGCUGUGAGAAGUUUUGAAAUUAGACCAAAGUGUAGUCUGAUGCAGCAUACGAGGAGUUACUCCGUGUCAUUGAGGGACCUGGUGAAGGCUGGUGUAGUAUUUUGGCGAAUGCGUUGUUUGCCAGUGGCCCGUAUUUUUUUAGCUAAUUAAGUAAUUAUGGAUGUCUAUAUGUAUCCGCUAAUCCCACCUCACUGGGAAGCCCCAAGCUACCUAACUACACUGGCUAAUGCAUGACGUGAAGUCCUACCAUGUUUAUGUUUGCUGUUGUCCGCUCCUAAAGGAAGUUGGCUGGUGUAGCCGUACCAGUUUAUGACCCUAAUCCUCAUCAGUCAUCGGUGAUAGCAUCUUCAUUACCCUAAGUGCCAUGUUGUUGUUGUGGAUAAAGUUACUUAACGGAAAUAUAAGUAUACCAA
Oryza sativa Japonica Group (Japanese rice) is the source of this 1653-nucleotide RNA transcript. It is a transcript of the gene named serine/threonine-protein kinase Aurora-3, with no coding region annotated. The record is from RefSeq and is a predicted model, not a curated record. NCBI's taxonomy places the organism in Eukaryota, Viridiplantae, Streptophyta, Magnoliopsida, Poales, Poaceae.